This 896-nucleotide ribosomal RNA is filed under the name Cladobotryum soroaense. RNAcentral's name for it is "LSU rRNA". It matches the Rfam family "Eukaryotic large subunit ribosomal RNA", at positions 38 to 964 of the family's 3401-position model. Lineage: Eukaryota; Fungi; Ascomycota; Sordariomycetes; Hypocreales; Hypocreaceae. The record is from RNAcentral.
GCAUAUCAAUAAGCGGAGGAAAAGAAACCAACAGGGAUUGCCUCAGUAACGGCGAGUGAAGCGGCAACAGCUCAAAUUUGAAAUCUGGCCCCUAGGGCCCGAGUUGUAAUUUGUAGAGGAUGCUUUUGGUGCGGUGCCGCCCGAGUUCCCUGGAACGGGACGCCAUAGAGGGUGAGAGCCCCGUCUGGCUGGCCACCAAGCCUCUGUAAAGCUCCUUCGACGAGUCGAGUAGUUUGGGAAUGCUGCUCAAAAUGGGAGGUAUAUGUCUUCUAAAGCUAAAUACCGGCCAGAGACCGAUAGCGCACAAGUAGAGUGAUCGAAAGAUGAAAAGCACUUUGAAAAGAGGGUUAAAAAGUACGUGAAAUUGUUGAAAGGGAAGCGCUCAUGACCAGACUUGGGCUUGGCGAAUCAUCCAGCGUUCUCGCUGGUGCACUUCGCCUCGUCCAGGCCAGCAUCAGUUCGCCGCGGGGGAUAAAAGUUUCGGGAACGUGGCUCCUCCGGGAGUGUUAUAGCCCGUUGCAUAAUACCCUGCGGUGGACUGAGGUUCGCGCUCCGGCAAGGAUGCUGGCGUAAUGGUCAUCAGCGACCCGUCUUGAAACACGGACCAAGGAGUCGUCUUCGUAUGCGAGUGUUCGGGUGUCAAACCCCUACGCGUAAUGAAAGUGAACGCAGGUGAGAGCUUCGGCGCAUCAUCGACCGAUCCUGAUGUUCUCGGAUGGAUUUGAGUAAGAGCAUACGGGGCCGGACCCGAAAGAAGGUGAACUAUGCCUGUAUAGGGUGAAGCCAGAGGAAACUCUGGUGGAGGCUCGCAGCGGUUCUGACGUGCAAAUCGAUCGUCAAAUAUGGGCAUGGGGGCGAAAGACUAAUCGAACCUUCUAGUAGCUGGUUUCCGCCGA